Molecule: ribosomal RNA, 253 nt
Filed under: uncultured bacterium
Lineage: Bacteria
Description: partial 16S ribosomal RNA
Rfam family: Bacterial small subunit ribosomal RNA
Source: RNAcentral
UACAGAGGUCUCAAGCGUUGUUCGGAUUCAUUGGGCGUAAAGGGUGCGUAGGUGGCGCCGUAAGUCAGGUGUGAAAUUUCGGAGCUCAACUCCGAAACUGCAUUUGAUACUGCGGUGCUUGAGGACUGGAGAGGAGACUGGAAUUCCAGGUGUAGCGGUGAAAUGCGUAGAUAUCGUGAGGAAGACCAGUGGCGAAGGCGGGUCUCUGGACAGUUCCUGACACUGAGGCACGAAGGCCAGGGGAGCAAACGGG